Oreochromis niloticus (Nile tilapia) is the source of this 3495-nucleotide RNA transcript. It is a transcript of the gene named coiled-coil domain containing 78, with no coding region annotated. The transcript has 16 exons. The record is from RefSeq and is a predicted model, not a curated record. NCBI's taxonomy places the organism in Eukaryota, Metazoa, Chordata, Actinopteri, Cichliformes, Cichlidae.
AGUUAUGAUGUAAUAUAAUGAGCAUAUGGUACCAUGUUUUGUAUUGAAUUAUUAUAGAAGAGCAGCUAUUCCAACUGUGUGCUCAAGAGGGCGCCGUUGUCCAUAGAAUUGUACCGUAGUUCUUUGAUAAGGGACUGAAUUAAUACAGUAUAAAGGAUGAAUAGAAACAGCGGAGUCGCUUAUAAAAUUGUUACUGUUACCCGUACUUUGUUUUACCGAGCUAACUUUAGAUACUAACAGGUUAGCAGGCUAAGAGCGGUCAAAUAUGCACCAGAAUACAUUUACUGUGACAUGUGGUGAUGAUAAUACACAUUUAGUCACGAUCGGUAUUAAGUGAAAUCUGAAGAAAGAGUUUCCACACAUGAGUUUUAUUUGUGUUGUGGAGUCAUGGAGACGUUGUUGGUGGCUACAAGCAACAGCUGACAGUGGAGGGGAAGAAAAGAUGGACGCCCAGGACCAAACUUCAAAUCAGCUUCAGGAACGAGUUCAAGCUCUGACAGGAGAAAAUCUGCAGUGGCGUGGCAAAUACGAGCGUGUCCUCACCAAAGUGGGCCACCUGGAGACCAGGUUGAGCCAUCUGGCCAGCUCCAACACAGACCUGUCCUGCAGGCUGGUCCAGAGUGAAGAGGAAAGACUGAAGAUCUAUAAGGAGCUUGUAGAGGAGAAAAUUAAGGCUAAUAAGAUAAGAGAACAGUAUGAAGAAGAGACAUUUGAGCUGAAAACCAAGGUACUUAACCAAGAAGGUGUGAUAACAGAGCUGGAAAUAGAGCGAGACAGGUUGCUCAGGGAACUGCAGUCCACUGAGACAUGCCUGAAAGGGAAAGAGACUAGCGGCCAGGACUUGACUGAGGAAUAUGCCACGCUAAAGAAGAACUACCAGAUUCUGGCUGAGGUCCACGAUAAAGAACUAGCCAAGAGUGGAGCGCUCACAGCAGAGCUGCUGGCGCUGGCCCAGGCCCAGGACGCCCUCCGCAGGCAGCUGGAGGAGCAGCAUCAAUGUGUGAAGACCAGCACCGAAGGUCUUCAUGGGGAGCUAGACAGGGUGCGGGCUUUGAUCACCCGCAUGUCACAUGACACAGUCAAGCCUGAGGAACAAGCAGAGAUGGACAAGGAGCAAAAAAGCAUGCAGAAAACUCUGCUUGAAAACCAAGAUGAGAUCAAAGACAAGCUGGAGGAAAUGAAGAGCAGCUACAAGGAGCAGCAGAAGAAACUGGAGGAGAAAGUGGUGGCGAUGGGUAAAGAGCACCAGCAGAUCCACAGAGCGAUGCACGUUAGCCAGAAGAAACUCUCUGAGCAGAGUGCGGCCCUGAUGUGCUCUCAGAGACAAUUAAAGGAGGCAGAGGAGGAGAACUCCAAGCUGCAGCUGCAGGUGAAAGAGCUGAUUGAGGAAUAUCGCACAAGGCUCGUGUGCUAUUUACAGGACAUAGCUGACUACAUCGAUGGGCUUGAAGAAAGUAAAAGGCCGUCAGAGCCGAGUAAGAUGAGAGGAUUCAUCGACAGCAUGCUGCAGGAUGUUCGUUUAUCCUACAGGGCGAGGGAGGAGCAGCUCGCCACCGCUGCUCGCUCAUAUAAGAAGAGACUACAGAGGAUCACCCAAACUCAUCAUGCCCUCCUGGUUGCAUACAGGCUUCAGAGGGAGCAGAUCUUGGUCAAACCGGAGAAUGGUCUUGAUCCCGGACCUCCAGAAGCCCACUUCAACUUGGAGCCAACUGAACUGAAAGAUGCAAUCGAGAAGGAGCUCCAACAACUGCACCAGGACAAAGCAAGGCUGGAAGGUCAGCUGCAGGCGGCCCGGGAGCAGGUGGCUGCGUUCAAAAUACCCAUGCAAAAUGUAAACCGUCAGCAGCUGGACAAACCGGAGCAGCGAUUCGAGGAAUCCUGUGGUGACAUAAGAAAACAGCUGAAAGAGCUCACUGACUCCACGCCGGUGUCCUUUGAGAAGGAGCGUGCCCUUCUCAUGACCAGAGCAGCAGUUGCAGAGGCACAGGUGCUGGAGUUGCAGGACUAUAUUGAAAAGCACCUGAGCAGGACCCUGAUCCAGACACAGGAUCCAUCUUUUUAGGAGGCCUUUUGGCGCUAAAUAGUGGAGACCACUGCCAAAUGGGAAAACGACUACACACAGAGAAAGAAAGACCAGACUCAAUCAGGAAGUGGCAGCUUUUCAGCUGUGCCAGAGGAGCCGGGCAACUUCCUGGUCUCGUUGCCAAGGUGACUGGAAGCGCGGCCAGCUGGUGCAGUGGGCAGCCGUUGGGUUUGAUGGGGGGGGUUGACGACGGUUGGUAUAUUGGACGGGAGGAGUCGGUGAAAAGCUGUGAUGGAGGGAGUUUAAAUAGAAUGGUCUAAAAAAGAGAGAAUAUCCAAUCAGCUGCAGAUCUCAAACCAACGCAGCACCUUUGGGAUGUUGUGGAACAGAAGAUUGCCAUCAUGGAUGUGCAGCCGACAAAUCCGCAUGAAAUGUGCGAUGCUCUCAUCUCAGUAUGGACUAAAAUAUGACAGGAAUGUUUCCAGCACCUUGUUGAAUCUGUGCCAUGAAGAAUUAAGGCAGUUCUGAAGGCAAAAUAGAUCUAAUACAGUACUAGUAAGGUAUAACUAGUAAAGUAGUCAGUGAGUGUAGGUGCUUUCCUGAAGUUUAUGGAAAAACAUCAUCUUAACAGUUCUCUGUUGAAUUGAUAUGAUAUGCUUGCAUGAUUUCUUCAGGAUAAUGAUCUAACUCUUACAGAGGCAGGAGCUGCUGAGUAGAAAAUAAUAGACUUCCUUCUUCUGUGUCUGUUUCUUGCUGGCUCACUGAUUCACAACAUGUUCAGUUUAUAUGAACCAAACAGGCUGUACACUGUAUCUGUAUGUGCAUCCCAGGGAGAACACACAUAAAGAUGAGGAGAACUCAACUCCAAGUGCAAACACUCACAGGUGGAGGUGCAGGGAGGAGUUUUUUUGAGAGAGAGAGGUGAAGAAACAGCACAAGAAUAACAGAAGAAAGAUAGAGUGGUGAAAUACAGAGGGGAAGAGAAACCUUAGAAAAAAAGAGGGGGUAAGUGUGAAAGAAGGAGGAAAGAGAAAGAAAGAGGAAUAACAUAAUGUGAAAGAAGUGGGUAGGAAGAUAGGGCGAGGGGGUGAUAGAAAGAGAAAAGGUAGAUCGGCAAUAAAGACAGAUAGAAAGUGACAAGGUAAUGGAGCGAGAGUAGAGAGGAGGUGGAGGAAGGAUCUGGAAAAGGCUGGACACAGAGGAAGCUGCUGAUGUCCAGGCUGAGCAACACAAACAGCAUCCUCCUCCACCCUCCAGUCCCCGGAGCCCUUCUUAUUCCUGUGCCAGAUGCAGAAGUCUUUCAUCCUUUCUGUUUCUUUCAUAAUUUCAGUUCCUCCCUCCCUCCCACGUUUUCUUUCUUUUCUAGUUUCUCGUGCUCUUCCAUGGUUCUCUACUCUGUUCACAACUCUCUUGAAACACCAUAAAUGUGUUUCAUGGUCUCAUCUAGAAAACAACUUCCCUCAUUUAGAAGA